Molecule: non-coding RNA, 78 nt
Organism: Schistosoma curassoni
Lineage: Eukaryota; Metazoa; Platyhelminthes; Trematoda; Strigeidida; Schistosomatidae
Source: Rfam
AGCUUUUCGUGUCCGUGCUGAGAUUUCGUCUGAUACCAACCCAUUAGGGCUGAUCAGACUUCCAACAUAAAUGAAGUU